CCUACGGGUGGCAGCAGUAGGGAAUAUUGCUCAAUGGGGGAAACCCUGAAGCAGCAACGCCGCGUGGAGGAUGACGGUUUUCGGAUUGUAAACUCCUUUUGUUAGAGAAGAUAAUGACGGUAUCUAACGAAUAAGCACCGGCUAACUCCGUGCCAGCAGCCCGGGUAAUACGGAGGGUGCCAGCGUUACUCGGAAUCAAUGGGCGUAAAGGGCGCGGAGGCGGGAUAGCAAGUCAGAUGUGAAAUCCUAUGGCUUAACCAUAGAACUGCAGUUGAAACUGUUAUUCUAGAGUAUGGGAGAGGUAGGUGGAAUGCGUGGUGUAGGGGUAAAAUCCGUAGAGAUCAAGAGGAAUACUCAUUGCGAAGGCGACCUGCUAGAGCAUAACUGACGCUGAUGCGCGAAAGCGUGGGGAGCAAACAGGAUUAGAUACCCCAGUAGUC
RNAcentral lists this ribosomal RNA (440 nucleotides) under uncultured bacterium. RNAcentral describes it as "partial 16S ribosomal RNA". It matches the Rfam family "Bacterial small subunit ribosomal RNA", at positions 338 to 795 of the family's 1533-position model. The record is from RNAcentral.